UGGAGGAAAGCAGGGGAUCGCAAGACCUUGCGCUUUUGGAGUGGCCGAUGCCUGAUUAGCUAGUUGGUAGGGUAAUGGCUUACCAAGGCGACGAUCAGUAGUUGGUCUGAGAGGACGACCAGCCACACUGGGACUGAGACACGGCCCAGACUCCUACGGGAGGCAGCAGUGGGGAAUUUUGGACAAUGGGCGAAGGCCUGAUCCAGCAAUGCCGCGUGAGUGAAGAAGGCCUUCGGGUUGUAAAGCUCUUUCAGUCGAGAAGAAAAGGUUGUGACUAAUAAUCACAACUCAUGACGGUAUCGACAGAAGAAGCACCGGCUAACUACGUGCCAGCAGCCGCGGUAAUACGUAGGGUGCGAGCGUUAAUCGGAAUUACUGGGCGUAAAGGGUGCGCAGGCGGCUUUGUAAGUCAGAUGUGA
Molecule: ribosomal RNA, 419 nt
Filed under: uncultured ammonia-oxidizing beta proteobacterium
Lineage: Bacteria; Pseudomonadati; Pseudomonadota; Betaproteobacteria
Description: bacterial SSU rRNA
Rfam family: Bacterial small subunit ribosomal RNA
Source: RNAcentral